This 201-nucleotide ribosomal RNA is filed under the name Triticum aestivum (bread wheat). Its description in RNAcentral is "partial small subunit ribosomal RNA". Lineage: Eukaryota; Viridiplantae; Streptophyta; Magnoliopsida; Poales; Poaceae. The record is from RNAcentral.
AUGGAGCUUGUGCAGCUUGUCGAGGCCUGUUUCCCGCCGGAUGCGCUCGCCCAUGGCGGCCUCGACCUCCUCGUCGCCUUCUCCUCCUUCCCAGACUCCAUGUCCCGUGACCCGGGACGUGGUCCCGCUGGGGAUUGCUGGACCGGGAUGGCCACCGUGAUGAACGGCGGGAGCGCCACGGCAGCGGACUGGCAGCGGUGA